This 423-nucleotide ribosomal RNA is filed under the name Aureobasidium pullulans. RNAcentral's name for it is "eukaryotic LSU rRNA". It matches the Rfam family "Eukaryotic large subunit ribosomal RNA", at positions 63 to 483 of the family's 3401-position model. The record is from RNAcentral. Lineage: Eukaryota; Fungi; Ascomycota; Dothideomycetes; Dothideales; Saccotheciaceae.
AAACAACAGGGAUUGCCUUUAGUAACGGCGAGUGAAGCGGCAACAGCUCAAAUUUGAAAGCUGGCCUUCGGGUCCGCAUUGUAAUUUGUAGAGGAUGCUUUGGGUGAAACGCCAGUCUAAGUUCCUUGGAACAGGACGUCAUAGAGGGUGAGAAUCCCGUAUGUGACUGGAAAUGUUAACCUAUGUAAAGCUCCUUCGACGAGUCGAGUUGUUUGGGAAUGCAGCUCUAAAUGGGAGGUAAAUUUCUUCUAAAGCUAAAUAUUGGCGAGAGACCGAUAGCGCACAAGUAGAGUGAUCGAAAGAUGAAAAGCACUUUGGAAAGAGAGUUAAAAAAAGCACGUGAAUUGUUGAAAGGGAAGCGCUGCAAUCAGACUUGUUUAACUGUUCGGCCGGUCCUCCUGACCGGUUACUCAGUUUGGACCA